ACAAAAGCUUCGGCGGCGUAAAUAUAUUGAAAAUAUUGAAAAUUACCAUUAAAUUGACUAAUUCAAGAAUUGAAAACCCAAGUAAAACAAUAAAAAGUCAUGGUGGAUGCCGCAGCAUGCGAAUUACCUUACAAAAACAGGGCAGCCGCUGGCGAGGUUUGCUGCUUGGUAGGAGAGUUGAAUGGCACGCAAAUAAGCGAACUGUGUGGAACGAUGCACUUUGCUGGUCCACAUGGGAUACCCAUGCAUCAAUGUGCAGUUCGAGGAGUCCGAGAAGGAGAGCGACAUAGAGCAAAAAAUGCACAUUAAUUACAGAUAAUUUAGCCAAUGAAGAAGCUGGCAGCAAUGCGAAGAAAGAACGCAACCAUCAGCCCCUGGAAGUCGAUGUCUAAUCCACCAGAGUUGUUUAAGCUAGUUUCACAAGGAUGCUAACGUUGCGCAGAACAAGUUGGUCUAUGCGUUCAAGAUCCUCAAAGUAGGUCUACGAAAAUCAAUUUUUACUGUUGCUGGGCCAUGCUUGCUUUGACUUCAACUUUGCCUGCUCCCAAAUUGGGCGAUACGAAGCAGACACUGGGCUUGUGUGAAUGUUUUGAGCUCGAAUGUGUGGCUGUGGAUGUGGCACUGAGAAGGCAAUCGAACCCGUUUUCGUUUUCAUGGAGCUGAAGGAUGAGGAUUGUACGCGUCAGCUGCAGCACUCCAAUACACAGAUGGCCGAUGGGGUCCGUUACUGCAAUCGGUAACAUUCCAACGCAGAAGAUCGAAGAAGGCUGGCGGGUCGUUCUUCCGGGCAAACCUGACUUUUCUUUGUAAGACAUGCGACUCUUACGAUCAGGAUUACAUGUUCUUCAUCAAAGUGGACGAUCUCCAAUAUAAGAAUGAGAGCACAUCGGAUUAGGUUAAGAUUAGCAUAACAAAUGUAUCCACCAAUUUUGCAAACAUGAAGUGAACCAAGUUUUGUCGAAUAAUA
Drosophila guanche is the source of this 967-nucleotide long non-coding RNA. RefSeq lists it as uncharacterized. The transcript has 4 exons. The record is from RefSeq and is a predicted model, not a curated record. NCBI's taxonomy places the organism in Eukaryota, Metazoa, Arthropoda, Insecta, Diptera, Drosophilidae.